RNAcentral lists this ribosomal RNA (674 nucleotides) under Polyporus tricholoma. RNAcentral's name for it is "eukaryotic LSU rRNA". It matches the Rfam family "Eukaryotic large subunit ribosomal RNA", at positions 72 to 731 of the family's 3401-position model. The record is from RNAcentral. Lineage: Eukaryota; Fungi; Basidiomycota; Agaricomycetes; Polyporales; Polyporaceae.
GGAUUCCCCUAGUAACUGCGAGUGAAGCGGGAAAAGCUCAAAUUUAAAAUCUGGCGGUCUUUGGCCGUCCGAGUUGUAGUCUGGAGAAGUGCUUUCCGCGCUGGACCGUGUAUAAGUCUCUUGGAACAGAGCGUCAUAGAGGGUGAGAAUCCCGUCUUUGACACGGACUACCAGUGCUUUGUGAUGCGCUCUCAAAGAGUCGAGUUGUUUGGGAAUGCAGCUCAAAAUGGGUGGUGAAUUCCAUCUAAAGCUAAAUAUUGGCGAGAGACCGAUAGCGAACAAGUACCGUGAGGGAAAGAUGAAAAGCACUUUGGAAAGAGAGUUAAACAGUACGUGAAAUUGCUGAAAGGGAAACGCUUGAAGUCAGUCGCGUCUGCCGGAACUCAGCCUUCCUUUUGGUUGGUGCACUUUCCGGUAGACGGGCCAGCAUCGAUUUCGACCGUUGGAAAAGGGCUAGAGAAAUGUGGCACCUUCGGGUGUGUUAUAGUCUCUAGUCGCAUACAGCGGUUGGGAUCGAGGAACGCAGCGCGCCGCAAGGCAGGGCUUCGGCCACUUUCGCGCUUAGGAUGCUGGCAUAAUGGCUUUAAACGACCCGUCUUGAAACACGGACCAAGGAGUCUAACAAACCUGCGAGUGUUUGGGUGGAAAACCCGAGCGCGUAAUGAAAGUGAAAG